AUUGAACGCUGGCGGCAGGCCUAACACAUGCAAGUCGAGCGGAUGAAGGGAGCUUGCUCCUGGAUUCAGCGGCGGACGGGUGAGUAAUGCCUAGGAAUCUGCCUGGUAGUGGGGGAUAACGUCCGGAAACGGGCGCUAAUACCGCAUACGUCCUGAGGGAGAAAGUGGGGGAUCUUCGGACCUCACGCUAUCAGAUGAGCCUAGGUCGGAUUAGCUAGUUGGUGGGGUAAAGGCCUACCAAGGCGACGAUCAGUAACUGGUCUGAGAGGACGAUCAGCCACACUGGAACUGAGACACGGUCCAGACUCCUACGGGAGGCAGCAGUGGGGAAUAUUGGACAAUGGGCGAAAGCCUGAUCCAGCCAUGCCGCGUGUGUGAAGAAGGUCUUCGGAUUGUAAAGCACUUUAAGUUGGGAGGAAGGGCAGUAAGUUAAUACCUUGCUGUUUUGACGGUACCAACAGAAUAAGCACCGGCUAACUUCGUG
Molecule: ribosomal RNA, 484 nt
Filed under: uncultured bacterium
Lineage: Bacteria
Description: partial 16S ribosomal RNA
Rfam family: Bacterial small subunit ribosomal RNA
Source: RNAcentral